This 742-nucleotide long non-coding RNA is filed under the name Numida meleagris (helmeted guineafowl). RNAcentral describes it as "lncRNA (ENSNMEG00000016407.1)". Lineage: Eukaryota; Metazoa; Chordata; Aves; Galliformes; Numididae. The record is from RNAcentral.
AUGGAGGUUUGCCGAAGCCAUCCUAGCGGGUCAAUCCGAGAGCUGCGUUCCCAUUGGCUGCGCCAUGCUCCGCCUCGGCCGGCCUGCCGCUACCAUUGGCUCUGCGGAGUAUCAGGCUGGCUCUCAUUGGCUACCGAGGUGUCGCUCCCGCUCUCUCUGCUCCGGGGCCCGGGGAACUAUUUUCCAUUCGGCGGAGGGGGGUCGGGGAGGGGGUUUCGGCGGUGGCACCGUGCUCGCCGAGCGGCAGGCGGCGGAGGAUGCUGCGGCCGUUGGGGCCGCCGGGACGGCGCUGAGGCGUCGCUGUCCGCGCUGCGGCGUCAGCGGUUUGUUAAUGGGACAUCUGCAGUGACACUUGGUUUCCCCAAGAAACGCAGAAGCCCUAAGUAAUCAUGUCCACAACUCAGAGAAGGAAUCUAGCAAGUUCAUGCUGAGGUAUAUUCGCAAGUCAAGAUACAGUGGCUCAUGUUUUUCUGGGUAAGAAAGAUAUCUGUGUGCUCUUAACUAUGACAAAAAGUAGUUAAACUUUAAAACUUAACUUUCAGAAAGUAUUUUGUCAAGCUGAUAUGGUGGUAAUUUUGUGAGUGGUUUGUUUUUGUUUGUUUUUAGUUGGGUUUUGGAGGCUUUUGGGCAAGCCUAGAGGAUUUCCAACCCACUUAACAGCCUAAACAUAUUUUGGAGUAAUAGUACAAAGGAAGAGGAAUAGCAAGCAACUUUCAAAUAAAAUACAUUACUGAACAGUGCA